Limulus polyphemus (Atlantic horseshoe crab) is the source of this 333-nucleotide long non-coding RNA. RefSeq lists it as uncharacterized. Lineage: Eukaryota; Metazoa; Arthropoda; Merostomata; Xiphosura; Limulidae. The record is from RefSeq and is a predicted model, not a curated record. The transcript has 3 exons.
GGAUCGUGGUGAUGGAGAAUUUGGAUUAAGGAGAGGACGUGGAGGUGGAAGAGGCAGGGGCAGAGGUGGGCGAGGAAGAGGGGGUAUGAUUGAUGGCAGGGGUAAACGAGAAUUUGAUAGACAGAGUGGAAGUGAUAAAAGUGGAAUAAAACCAGUUGACAAGAAAGAGGGUGGUGGAGCACACAACUGGGGAACAGUGAAUGAUGAUUUAGAUUUGCAGUACAACAGUGCGAAAGAUGAGGUACCAGAAAUGGAUCGAAAUGUUGAAGAAAGUACUCCUGAAACUGCAGAACCAAAGUGAGUUUGUAUUAUGUGUAGUGUUUCAUUUGUUGU